GAUUACUCAGAAACAGCAUCUGACUUUUAAUCAGAGGAUCCCAGGUUCGAGCCCUGGCGGGAUCA
RNAcentral lists this transfer RNA (65 nucleotides) under Rhodothermales bacterium. RNAcentral's name for it is "tRNA-Ser". It matches the Rfam family "tRNA", at positions 13 to 71 of the family's 71-position model. Rfam says of the family: Transfer RNA (tRNA) molecules are approximately 80 nucleotides in length. Lineage: Bacteria; Pseudomonadati; Rhodothermota; Rhodothermia; Rhodothermales. The record is from RNAcentral.